This 465-nucleotide ribosomal RNA is filed under the name Vreelandella stevensii. RNAcentral describes it as "partial 16S ribosomal RNA". It matches the Rfam family "Bacterial small subunit ribosomal RNA", at positions 338 to 795 of the family's 1533-position model. The record is from RNAcentral. Lineage: Bacteria; Pseudomonadati; Pseudomonadota; Gammaproteobacteria; Oceanospirillales; Halomonadaceae.
CCUACGGGUGGCUGCAGUGGGGAAUAUUGGACAAUGGGCGAAAGCCUGAUCCAGCCAUGCCGCGUGUGUGAAGAAGGCCUUCGGGUUGUAAAGCACUUUCAGUGGGGAAGAAAGCCUUGGGGCUAAUACCCUCGAGGAAGGACAUCACCCACAGAAGAAGCACCGGCUAACUCCGUGCCAGCAGCCGCGGUAAUACGGAGGGUGCGAGCGUUAAUCGGAAUUACUGGGCGUAAAGCGCGCGUAGGCGGUCUGAUAAGCCGGUUGUGAAAGCCCCGGGCUCAACCUGGGAACGGCAUCCGGAACUGUCCGGCUAGAGUGCAGGAGAGGAAGGUAGAAUUCCCGGUGUAGCGGUGAAAUGCGUAGAGAUCGGGAGGAAUACCAGUGGCGAAGGCGGCCUUCUGGACUGACACUGACGCUGAGGUGCGAAAGCGUGGGUAGCAAACAGGAUUAGAUACCCGUGUAGUC